Molecule: ribosomal RNA, 628 nt
Filed under: uncultured Thauera sp.
Lineage: Bacteria; Pseudomonadati; Pseudomonadota; Betaproteobacteria; Rhodocyclales; Zoogloeaceae
Description: bacterial SSU rRNA
Rfam family: Bacterial small subunit ribosomal RNA
Source: RNAcentral
AACGGCAGCGCGGGCUUCGGCCUGGCGGCGAGUGGCGAACGGGUGAGUAAUGCAUCGGAACGUACCCAGUCGUGGGGGAUAACACAUCGAAAGAUGUGCUAAUACCGCAUACGUCCUGAGGGAGAAAGCGGGGGACCUUCGGGCCUCGCGCGAUUGGAGCGGCCGAUGUCAGAUUAGCUAGUAGGUGGGGUAAAGGCCCACCUAGGCGACGAUCUGUAGCGGGUCUGAGAGGAUGAUCCGCCACACUGGGACUGAGACACGGCCCAGACUCCUACGGGAGGCAGCAGUGGGGAAUUUUGGACAAUGGGGGCAACCCUGAUCCAGCCAUGCCGCGUGAGUGAAGAAGGCCUUCGGGUUGUAAAGCUCUUUCGGUCGGGAAGAAAUCGCAUUCUCUAACAUAGGAUGUGGAUGACGGUACCGGACUAAGAAGCACCGGCUAACUACGUGCCAGCAGCCGCGGUAAUACGUAGGGUGCGAGCGUUAAUCGGAAUUACUGGGGCGUAAAGCGUGCGCAGGCGGUUUGCCAAGACAGGCGUGAAAUCCCCGGGCUUAACCUGGGAACUGCGCUUGUGACUGGCAGGCUAGAGUACGGCAGAGGGGGGUGGAAUUCCACGUGUAGCAGUGAAAU